AGGAGUGUAGCUCAACUGGAAGAGCACCGGUCUCCAAAACCGGGGGUUGGGGGUUCGAGCCCCUCCACUCCUGCCA
This 76-nucleotide transfer RNA is filed under the name SAR116 cluster bacterium. Its description in RNAcentral is "tRNA-Trp". It matches the Rfam family "tRNA". From Rfam's summary of the family: Transfer RNA (tRNA) molecules are approximately 80 nucleotides in length. Their secondary structure includes four short double-helical elements and three loops (D, anti-codon, and T loops). The record is from RNAcentral. Lineage: Bacteria; Pseudomonadati; Pseudomonadota; Alphaproteobacteria; Puniceispirillales (SeqCode).